Molecule: ribosomal RNA, 500 nt
Filed under: uncultured bacterium
Lineage: Bacteria
Description: partial 16S ribosomal RNA
Rfam family: Bacterial small subunit ribosomal RNA
Source: RNAcentral
AUUGAACGCUGGUGGCAUGCUUUACACAUGCAAGUCGAACGGUAACAGGGUGCUUGCACCGCUGACGAGUGGCGAACGGGUGAGUAAUGCGUCGGAACGUGCCGAGUAGUGGGGGAUAACGCAUCGAAAGGUGUGCUAAUACCGCAUACGUACUGAGGUAGAAAGUGGGGGACCUUCGGGCCUCACGCUAUUCGAGCGGCCGACGUCUGAUUAGCUAGUUGGUGAGGUAAAGGCUCACCAAGGCGGCGAUCAGUAGCGGGUCUGAGAGGAUGAUCCGCCACACUGGGACUGAGACACGGCCCAGACUCCUACGGGAGGCAGCAGUGGGGAAUUUUGGACAAUGGGCGCAAGCCUGAUCCAGCCAUGCCGCGUGUCUGAAGAAGGCCUUCGGGUUGUAAAGGACUUUUGUCCGGGAGCAAAUACCCAGUGCUAAUAACGCUGGGGGCUGAGAGUACCGGAAGAGUAAGCACCGGCUAACUACGUACCAGCAGCCGCCGCGG